UCAGCGGCAGACGGGUGAGUAACGCGUGGGAACGUACCAUUUGCUACGGAAUAACUCAGGGAAACUUGUGCUAAUACCGUAUGAGCCCCCCUUUAAAAUUUCAGGAAUCAUAAAAUGCCCUGGCAUUUUAUGGGGGGGAAAGAUUUAUCGGCAAAUGAUCGGCCCGCGUUGGAUUAGCUAGUUGGUGGGGUAAAGGCCUACCAAGGCGACGAUCCAUAGCUGGUCUGAGAGGAUGAUCAGCCACACUGGGACUGAGACACGGCCCAGACUCCUACGGGAGGCAGCAGUGGGGAAUAUUGGACAAUGGGCGCAAGCCUGAUCCAGCCAUGCCGCGUGAGUGAUGAAGGCCCUAGGGUUGUAAAGCUCUUUCACCGGUGAAGAUAAUGACGGUAACCGGAGAAGAAGCCCCGGCUAACUUCGUGCCAGCAGCCGCGGUAAUACGAAGGGGGCUAGCGUUGUUCGGAUUUACUGGGCGUAAAGCGCACGUA
This 488-nucleotide ribosomal RNA is filed under the name Brucella ciceri. Its description in RNAcentral is "bacterial SSU rRNA". It matches the Rfam family "Bacterial small subunit ribosomal RNA", at positions 92 to 573 of the family's 1533-position model. Lineage: Bacteria; Pseudomonadati; Pseudomonadota; Alphaproteobacteria; Hyphomicrobiales; Brucellaceae. The record is from RNAcentral.